Molecule: long non-coding RNA, 1041 nt
Filed under: Bos taurus (domestic cattle)
Lineage: Eukaryota; Metazoa; Chordata; Mammalia; Artiodactyla; Bovidae
Description: long non-coding RNA NONBTAT018375
Source: RNAcentral
GGGGGGUCAUUUAGAAACUUAAAACUUACACCAAAGAAAACAUAAUUUUUAGUUUUCCAGCGUCAUGGAGUCCUACUGAAACAGAGUAAGUGGAGUCCUACUGAAACAAUAAAUUCCCCAACAACAAAGUAAUCUUCUAAAUUUCAUCCAACACAAAAGUAAGACUGUAACAAUAAUUCCAAAGGUAAAGACACUCUUAGUGGGAAAUAAUACUCAAAAAAUUGCUUUACCUCAAAGAAAAAAGAUCUGUAAAGCAGUGGAGAGGUCACUUUCUUGCAGUCUGUUUCUGGAAUGUGGACAUCAACCAUACACAGACACCCUCCUUCCCCAGGACAUCCUGACUACACACAAUAGCUACUGACAACAAUUGAAUGAACCGUGGUCCUUAUUUGCAAGCAUGGAAAUUUUACUAUCUAUAGACACUAAUUACUCUAACUUACAUUAAAUUGCACUUAUAGACAAUCUAUUUUAAAACAAAUUUGGUUACUAAGCAUUUUUAAGAGUCACAACAGAAGCUAUCCACUUUGAAACCAUCUAUAUUUUUCCAGUGCUUGAAAUACAGAAAAAAAGAGAACCACGCAAACAGGAUAAAUCUACAUAAAAAGGGAAGGCAGUUCUUAAGUGCAUGGACUAUAUUGUAUUGACAAGGUUUUUAUUUUCCCUUCCUGCCUAAUUCCUUGACACUUGCCCUUUGCCCUCUCUAUAUCAAUCACAUCAUGUUCUUCACAUCCAGAGUUCGACAAGCAUCCAGAAUUGCAGUUCCAAUCCCUGCCCUAGCCCAGUUAAUGUUCACCUGACCUUUGAGACUCUGGACAGGUAAUCCCUCUCCCCAAAAAAGCCUCUCAUUUCAUUACUCAAGCCAUGGUGACUCACUUUUAAUGAGUUAAACUAUUGUUAAACUAAAUUGUUAAACUAUUUGAAUUCACAUUACCUAUCAGGUUAACAUUUAACACUGACAAUCACUUCUUAGAACCUAACAUUUUUAAAAUUCCAUAACAUCUUUCUCCAGAUAAUCUACCUACUUUCGUGUUUCUCACCUUC